AACACUACUCACUACUGGUAGACUGGUAGGUCCUGUGAAGAGAGGGUUUAACUCAAAAAUCUCCAUGGAUUCAACAUCUUCAGCUUCGCAGCCGAAGAAGAGAGGGAGGCCAAAGGGUUCAAAAACCAAGGAGGAUAGAGAAAGCGGCACAAAAGGAGUAGCAGUGAAGAUGAGAGGCGGCGGCGCUGGUGAUAAAAAGGUUGCCAGUACCAAUUUCUGCCGGUACCAAU
Molecule: long non-coding RNA, 230 nt
Filed under: Panax ginseng (ginseng)
Lineage: Eukaryota; Viridiplantae; Streptophyta; Magnoliopsida; Apiales; Araliaceae
Description: long non-coding RNA (PGIN_LNC001733)
Source: RNAcentral